UACGUAGGGUGCGAGCGUUGUCCGGAAUUAUUGGGCGUAAAGAGCUUGUAGCGGUUUUGUCGCGUCUGCUGUAGCGAAAUCCGGGACUCAGCCCGGACUUGCAGUGGGUACGGGCAGACUAGAGUGUGGUAGGGGGAGACUGGAAUUCCUGGUGUAGCGGUGGAAUGCGCAGAUAUCAGGAGGAACACCGAUGGCGAAGGCAGGUCUCUGGGCAUUAACUGACGCUGAGGAGCGAAAAGCAUGGGGGAGCGAACAGG
RNAcentral lists this ribosomal RNA (257 nucleotides) under uncultured bacterium. RNAcentral describes it as "partial 16S ribosomal RNA". It matches the Rfam family "Bacterial small subunit ribosomal RNA", at positions 524 to 776 of the family's 1533-position model. The record is from RNAcentral.